AGAGUUCCCUGUCAAAGAGCAACAAUUCAACUGCUUCAUCUCAAGCAAAGAGUACCACAUCAUCAAGAAGUUCUUAAAUCGAUGUGAAGAAAAUAUUUUAACAUUUGUGUUUAAGAAUAUAUAUUUGGUUUAUUUCACUUGUAACAACCUGUAUGCAUAUUUGGAUAGAAGCCUUGCUUCGUAGUGUAUAAUAAUAAUGCCCCCUGCCAAAGCAAUUUUAAGAAUCACAAGCCUUGUGCCUCGCUGUUCUCUCUAAUGAACUCUGAUUGAUCUAUGCUCCUCUGCAUUGACUAUUGGCUUCACCUAAUCGCUUCAAUUGGCAAAAUUAGGUAUUGAAAUGAAAGCGACUUGGAACUUGGAAGUUAUCCAGAAGAAGGGGAAAAACAGCAAAAACAAUCAAACAAACAAACAUAAACGUGACGUAGUAACAAAUAACAUGGGUCAAGAUAUAAAUCAACUGGCCAACAUUGUUCAAUAAACUUUUUCCAACAUCUAAACUUUUUCAACCGAACCUGAAUUUUCUUGAGAGUUUUUUUGAGGCAUCAUGAUUGGUAAGGAGCUUGAAGGCAAAGUUCAACAGUUUCAUGACAAAGUUACAACCAUCGAUGAAAAGGUUACGACCUUAGCCAAGCAAAAUAACGAUUUGCAGAAACUCAUGAAACAUCCUUCAGCAAUUGAGCCAGUUGCGAAAAGAAAAACAACCGACUACUGAUCAAAGACAAGUUGAUAUAUUUACUGGAGGGACCUCUGCUCCUCAAAUGGUAAUUGCUACCCAACCACCUCUUGAACCUGCCGAACGCAUUGGAAGUACUCUCAUGCAAGCUCGUAACAUAUGACUUGACUUUCUUAUUUUUCAUGGUGCCAAUCAAACGGGAUGGAUUUUUCGAUAUGAGCAAUAUCGUCGCCUUACUGGAUUAUCAGAUGCUGACUUAUUGUCCUUAGCUAUUGGCCAUCUUGAUGGUGAUACUGUACCUUGGUUUAAUUGGAUAGAGCAAACUAUGGGCGCAAUUUAAACGGGCUUUGACUACUCAAUUUGGGACAUUAGAAGAGAAUGAUGCAGUUGGCAGUCUUACCAAACUACGUCAAAUAGGGACCGUUCUUGACUAUCAACGACAAUUUGAAAAGUUGGCUAAUCAGACUAGAAAUUUAACUGAGUCUUUCUUUAUCAGUUGUUUCCUCUCUGGGUUGCGUGAAGAUAUCAAGGCUGGCGUACAACUGUUCAAACCUGUUAGUCUUGUACAAACUUUUGAACUUGCUAGGUUUAGUAAAAGACAAUUACUUUGCAAGGCAACUGUUCCCCUGUUCCUGCCAUCCAAGAUCUAGUCCCACAAUUACAGCCGACUCCUACUCCACCAACACCCUCUUUAUUAGGACUGAUUUCCUCUACCUUACCUAAUAAUGUCAAACGUUUAUCCUCAGCUGAGCAGACAGAAAGACGUUCUGAAGGGCUCUGUUUCAACUCUGAUGAGCAAUUCAAGCCUGAACAUCGUUGCAAACAAUCUCAACUAUUGCUUUUAGACGCUGCUAUACCUCUUCACAACCCUCCAAAACCGCCUGACCAUCAUUCGGAUUGGAAGAUCUCGAUUAUUGAGACUGGGUAAAAGGCUUUCAGACAAGCCUGUUUGAAGGGGCAGGGAAUGUUAGGACCCUAAUAAUUUAUUUUAUUACUUGUUUUAAUUUUUUUUCCUAUUAAUACUAGGUUUUCUUAUUUCAAUUAUGAAUUAAUGCUCUUAUUAAAUUACAAUUAGAACCGUCUUGAACUACUAUAAAUAAGUGGUUCUUAUUAUAUUUUUGAAGGAGCAACAAUAAAAUUAAUUCUAAUCUCAGUUAAUUCUUCUCUCUUCCCUCUGAAUUCUUAAAUUCUUCAUUUAUUUCUCCCUUAAUUCUCUAACCAAAACCUCAUAAUCCUACCAGUAACGGACUGCAUUACGUUCGAGAAGACGAUUUACACACACACAAGAUAAUAAAGGCAUUUAAAUCACCUAAUUAAGUUGUAUAGGGAUAAAUAAUUAAAUUACAAAAAGCUCGACAUAUACUGAAAAAUAAAAAAGAAAUUGAACAAAGUCAUAAAUUUAUUGACAUCUAAAUUCUGAAAAUUGGUGUGUGUCUUCAGUAGGGAAAGUUAUCAUUUACAUACGGUUAUUUUUAUUGAUAUUUAAUACCUCUAUUUUAUGUUCAAUUGGAAGGAAUUCUAGGCUGUUCAGUUUUCUACUUACGGUAUUAUCACGAUCGUUGUUAUUGAGAAAAUUGUGGCAAUUUUUUUGAUUGAUAAUGAUGAUUUUAGUACGUGGCAGGCUCGGUGAUGCUGUUAUUUCGCGGAGCAUUUGGAUGCCCGCUCUAUACUGGUGAUUUUCGCUGGGAAGCAAGUAAUCAGAGGGCCGAGAUAGGAAGGAACACGCUCGUCAAAGCUUUAAAAGAUGAUGUAGUCGACAUUCUUUAUUUGGAUAACACAUAUUGCAGUCCAUCAUAUGCUUUCUUGUUUGAGAACUUUAUAUAUCCAAACUGAUAUAUGAUAGCAGGUACACUUUUUAUAUUUUUCCUUUCUUGUUUGAGAACUUUCAGUUUCACUCCAGAAUUAUCUACUGAAUUAAAGAUUAAAAUGGGAGAUGAAAGAAAUAGUCCAGGUACUGAUUUGUAGUGUUAGUUAUCUGGAUGAAAACAGAUUGUUGACAUAAUUGCCUCCCAUCCAGAUCAUGACAUCAUCAUUGGGAUUGACUCACUUGGAAAAGAAAAACUUUUAUUUCACAUAUCGCAUAAGCUCAAUAUAAAGGUUUGCUCACCCUUUUAAUAUCGGAAAACCUUUUCUUACAUAACGAUCAUCACGAUGGUCUCUCCAAGGGGGAUGAAAUCGAUAGCAUAUAUACAGCAAAUUGACAUGUUAUCUAAUUUUUGGAUCACUUGUAGAUGAUUUAGAAGGAUUUUGAUAGUUUUUAUUCUUCUAACAUCUAAAAUAUGUUUUACUUUUUAGAAACUGGGCGGGUUAGAUUGUCAUUUGGUGGAUUUAAUUGUGGCCAAAUUCAUACAUGAAAUGUAUUGUCACACAUGUAUUAUUGGAUGCAUCCAAUUGUAUGUUCUUCCUCUUCAUGUGCCAUGAGAACUUAAAACUGCCCUCUUCAUCUCUUGCAAAAUGUUGUUUAGUCACAAGCAAGUGGAAUAAAAUUUUUGCAUUCAUUUCCAAAGCAGAUAUUUACUCUGUGUUUCUUGUUUCACAUUUCUUUUUUUUUUUAUAGAUUUGGGUGUGGCCAGAACGCCUGCAAACCAUGCAUCUGCUUGGCUUCCAUGACACAUUCACAACCAAAACUUCUCUUGCUAGAGUGCGAGCUGUUCCACGGUAUAGUUUUAGCAUUGAUACUUUAGAGAAUUUAAAUACAAUGCACCAAACCAUUGGAAUUAUGCCAUCUGGUCUUCCUUGGGUGGUUAAGCCUCUUAAAGGAGGUCCUGGUUCUCUUUUUGCUUCUUACCAAAGCAAAUGGAGAGCAACGGGUUGAACUCAGACUGAGAAACUAAAAGAAGCUUUGGGAUCAGUGGACAGGUUUCGUAAGUACAUAUAUUCAGUUCCAUAUUCUGAUCAGUCCUGCUUUGCAGGGAUAGAGGAAUUUUUAAACCGUGCCCAGCCAUCGAAUAUCAGAGGCAUCGUGUCUUCAUCGUCCUGUUAUGUUGACCCUCUUUACUACUUUGGCCACCUUUGCAGAGCAAAUCAACCAUCACUGAGGUAUAAGCAGCAACAGAGAGUGCAGCACAAAACAGUUGUAGCCGCCCAAAUGAAAUUCAUUGUUGAAAGUGGUAGAUCCACUAAGGUAGAUAGGAAACGAAGGACUGCGGAAGUAGGUAUUUUAGGAGUUCGCAUGAGUAAGGUGGAUGCCCUUAGGCGGGCCCGACGAGGUGCGAAGCUUGCUCGAAGUGAGAGUUCUGAUUAAUUAGUGUCAAAUAUCAAUAUCAGGUAAGCUUGAAAUUCUUGCGAGUAAUGUUGCCUGUAUCAGUUUGAAUUCAGAGUCUAUUGUAUGGUUGAAGAAUACAUAUGGUGGUGUAGGGUGUAAGAAAAAUAAUCUUUUAUUUAUUUAUUUAUUUAUCUUGGAUGUCUAAAGCGACGGCCUAUUAGUGCUCAUUAAAGAAAAUGGUUGUGCGAAAGCACUUCGUCUGGAUCAAUCAUUUGAUUGUUUACGCGGGAUAGUUAUAGCGACUUUUCAAACUCGUGGCCUUUAAACACAUUAUAGUUUGCAAUCGUGGUCUUUACUCUUUACUUGAUUUGCAAUGAGGUAAAGAAGUCAAAUGACGGACCAAGAUAUUAGUUGAAGAAGCCAUACUACGGAUACGUCGCACGAGGUAUAUGUAAUCCCACGACACCUGGCAAGCGGACCGAAUCCAUGCGACUAUAGUAGCAGAGUCCGAUUCUACCUGCAAUAUAGAAUGGCCGAGGUGAGCUGCAAGCUCUAAGCUCUCAUGAACAGCCAUAAGCUCUAUGUAAAGGAUCGGACGAUAACCUAGGAAUGAUCCAAAAGUGCCUAAGAGCUCUCCCCAAGAGUCACGUAAAAUGCCCCCUGAAGCAGCCAUCCCUGGGUUUCCCCUAGAGCACCCAUCCACUGUCAACUUCACCACCCCCGGAGGUGGUCGAAUCCGAGAAAUCAGCCGAAGUGGUCUCCUAUGCCGUGUAACAACACGCCAUCCGUCCACUAAUCUACUAUCCAGGACGCCGCGCAGUUGGGAUGUUUUAAAACCGAAAGCAAAGCUGGCCAGCUUAAGAUCUGAAACUACUCGAAAAAUGACCGCAUCUACAAAAAAUGCCAUUGAAUCAAAUCUGUAAGCAUUUCGGGCCUUCCACACGUGCCAGAGGAUGAAACAAGGAAGUAGAACUCAAAUAUGGUUUCGGGAAGGAGCACAGCGCCUCCAGUGGCGAAGCAGCGCAUGAGGGGAGCGUUAUCUUUACUUGAUUUGCAAUAAGGUAAAGAAGUCAAUUGGGUAAUUUUUUUCUGUGAGAGUGAAUUGCGGCAAACGUGAGCAAAUUUUGCAUCAUUGUGCAUUUUGUUGUAGAAUGAGGAGAGUCAAUUUUCCUGACUAUCUAGACGAGUCUUUAGUUGAAUCUCUCCAUGGCCAUAAGUGGCCGGCAUAGACCAAAUCCUGAAACUGGUCAUAGUCCAAUAUGCAGACCACUCUGACUAUGGUCAAGACACUGGAAAAUGGUGAACGUUAGCUAAGUUUUGAAAGUUACCAAAAUUUAAUAAUAUCAUGUUUCUGAUUUCUAAUCAUGUUUUUUAUUUUGAAGAUUUCAGUUUUGACAAUUUGACUAAAUAAAUAUGCGGGUUAAAAUUUUCAUGAUCUAAAAAAAUGUAACGAGAACUAAUAAAAUUUAUUAUUUUAUUACGGUUUAUAUCAUUUGAAAUGUUGAUUCAAUAUAAAUGAUAUGUCCGGCCUUGUGGUGGCUGGUGGGUGCAAUUUGAGAUGGUAAAAUUUUUUUAUUUUGAAGACAAGAUGUGAAUCCCAUUUAAUAUUAUUAUUAAAUUAAGCAGUAUAAAGAAGUUAAGCAACCCAAAACCAUAAAGAAGUCAAACAGGCUAGAAGCCGUAAAGAAGUCUAGAAGCCAUAAAGAAACCGAAUAUCAUAAACUAAAGAAAAGAUAAAAUAUAGAGUAAUAACAGCAGCAAAAAAACAGAGAACAGUAGCGCCACAACAGAUCUAAUACUUGUCCGUUUGUAAUCAUAUGUUUGCUGUUGUUCUUUGUUUAUUGCAGCUGCUAUUACUCUCAUUUUAGCUUUUCCUUAGCUUAUGAUCUUCGGUUUCUAUAUGGCUUCUUGGCUGCUUAACUUCUUUACGGCUUCCAGGCCGCUUGACCUCUUAACGUCUCCUAAGUGUUUGACUUCUUUAUGGUUUACCCCAAAAUGACCGAAGUGUUCCACAUUUAUGUAUUUUAAAGAGGUGCAACCUCAAGAUUGUAAUUUGUAAAGGGCAUAAUUGUCAGUUCAAUUAGCUUAGUUGACUUGGGGAAGGACUAUAACAUCGUUCUUCUUCUCUAUGUCGGUCUGUCUAGCUGUUGUCUUUCUCUUAUGAGCAAUAAAACAAUACAUGAUAUGUAAAUUAUUUUUCACUCAAGUAUCUAUCUUGAUAGCACAGAAUUUGUUGUUGUUGCAGCAGCCAUGGCAAUCAUCAAGAACAAUUCAUGGUUGAUGCUUUUUGUUCUUUUUACGUGCUUUUCACUCAAAUCCCAUGUCUCCUUCGGAGCUGACACCGUUUCUGCAAACCAAUCUCUCUCUGGCGAUCAAACGAUCGUUCAAGGCGGAUGUACGGUACAGCAGUUCCUUCACGAGAAGUUGCAGCUCAGCAGGUUCUCUUCGGUUUUAAGAAUCUCAGAUGGUAACUUAGUUCUUUUUAAUGAGUCCCAACUACCCAUUUGGUCCACAAAUUUGACCGCUACCAGCAGACGUUCUGUGGAAGCAGUUCUUUUAGAUGAAGGAAAUCUUGUUUUGAGAGAUUUGUCAAAUAAUUUGUCAAAGCCUUUAUGGCAAAGUUUUGAUCAUCCAGCUCAUACUUGGAUUCCCGGUAUGAAGCUGACGUUCAACAAGAGAAACAACGUCAGUCAACUUAUCACUUCAUGGAAGAAUAAAGAAAAUCCUGCACCGGGUCUCUUCUCCCUUGAGCGAGCACCAGAUGGAUCAAAUCAAUAUGUUAUGUUGUGGAAUAGGUCUGAGCAGUACUGGUCAAGUGGACCUUGGGAUGAGAAUGCAAAAAUUUUCAGCAUGGUCCCUGAAAUGAAUCAAAACUAUAUCUACAAUUUCAGCUAUGUGUCGAAUGAAAACGAGAGCUAUUUCACCAACAAUGUGAAAGAUAGCACUUACACAUCUCGAUUCAUUAUGGAUGUUUCAGGACAGGUUAAGCAGAUGAAUUGGUUGCCUACCAACUCUUGGUUUCUGUUUUGGUCCCAACCAAGACAGCAAUGCGAGGUUUAUGCUCUUUGUGGUCAAUUUAGCACCUGCAAUCAGCAAACUGAGCGUUUUUGUUCUUGUUUGAAAGGUUUUCAACAAAAAUCGGUGAGUGACUGGAAUUUGGAAGAUUAUUCUGGUGGUUGUGUGAGGAAAACCCCGCUGCAGUGUGAAAAUAUUAGUCCUGCCAAUAGAAAAAGCGACCAAUUUUUCCAGUACAGUAACAUGAAAUUGCCUAAACAUCCACAAUCUGUGGCAGUAGGGGGUAUCAGGGAAUGUGAAACACACUGCUUGAAUAACUGCUCUUGCACUGCUUAUGCUUACAAAGACAACGCUUGCUCGAUUUGGGUAGGAAGUUUCGUGGGUCUGCAACAGCUACAAGGAGGUGGAGAUAUCAUUUAUAUCAAGCUUGCAGCUUCUGAGUUCGAGAGUCCCAAGAACAAGAAGGGAGUAGUCAUUGGCGGUGUUGUGGGCUCAGUGGCUGUCGUAGCUCUUAUUGGCCUGAUCAUGCUUGUAUACUUGGGAAGGAGAAAGACAGCAACUGUAACAACCAAAACUGUGGAGGGUUCUUUGGUGGCAUUUGCAUGCAAGGAUUUGCAAACUGCCACAAAGAAUUUCUCUAAAAAGCUGGGGGGAGGAGGUUUUGGUUCAGUUUUCAAAGGGGUGUUUCCGAAUUCAAGUCUCAUAGCUGUGAAGAAGCUUGAAAGCUUGAGCCAAGGAGAGAAGCAAUUUCGGACUGAAGUCAGAACCAUAGGGAAUAUCCAACAUGUCAAUCUGGUUCGGCUUCUGGGUUUCUGCUCUGAAGGUACUAGUAGGUUGUUGGUCUACGAUUUCAUGCCAAACGGUUCUUUAGACUCUCAUCUCUUCACUGAAAAAGAUUCAGACUUUCUUGAUUGGAAGACAAGAUACCAAAUUGCACUGGGGACAGCCAGAGGUUUGGCUUAUCUCCAUGAGAAGUGCAGAGACUGCAUCAUACACUGUGACAUAAAGCCAGAGAACAUUCUGUUAGACGCUGAAUUUUGUCCCAAAGUGUCGGAUUUUGGGCUGGCAAAGCUUGUUGGGAGGGAGUUCAGCCGUGUCCUAACAACCAUGAGAGGAACAAGAGGUUACCUUGCACCUGAAUGGAUUUCAGGAGUGGCCAUAACAGCCAAAGCGGAUGUCUACAGCUAUGGAAUGAUGCUGUAUGAAUUUGUAUCAGGAAGGAGGAACUCCCAGGAAUCUGAAGAUGGUAAAGUGAAGUUCUUCCCAUCUUGGGCUGCUAAACAAAUAGUUGAAGGCAGCAAUCUCAUUAGCCUAUUAGACCCAAGACUGGAGGGCAACGCUGACGAAGUAGAGCUUGCAAGACUUUGCAAAGUGGCUUGUUGGUGCAUCCAAGAUGAUGAGACUCACAGGCCAUCAAUGGGUCAAGUAGUUCAAAUUCUUGAGGGAGUUUUGGACGUGACACUGCCUCCAAUUCCCAGAGCUCUCCAAGUAAUGGUCGAUGACCAUGAGCACGUAGUCUUCUUCACUGAAUCAUCCACAUCUCAGAGUUCCCUGUCAAAGAGCAACAAUUCAACUGCUUCAUCUCAAGCAAAGAGUACCACAUCAUCAAGAAGUUCUUAAAUCGAUGUGAAGAAAAUAUUUUAACAUUUGUGUUUAAGAAUAUAUAUUUGGUUUAUUUCACUUGUAACAACCUGUAUGCAUAUUUGGAUAGAAGCCUUGCUUCGUAGUGUGUAUAAUAAUAAUGGAACCUGCCAAAGCAAUUUUAAGAAUUACAAGCCUUGUGCCUCGCUGUUCUCUCUAAUGAACUCUGAUUGAUCUAUGCUCCUCUGCAUUGACUAUUGGCUUCACCUAAUCGCUUCAAUUGGCAAAAUUAGGUAUUGAAAUAAAAGUGACUUGGAACUUGGAUGUUAUCCCGAAGAAGGGGAAAAACAGAAAAACAAUCAAACAAAUAAACAUAAACGUGACGUUGUAACAAAUAAUGUUUGGUAGUAUAUGAUAUGCAUACAUAAAUCGAAAACCAUAAAAUGUAAAAUAACUAGGUUAAGUGUGGUUAACUAAUCGAGACUUAAGUCUUAAUUUCUCUUAUAAAAACUUAAGUGUUGUAUCUAAGUCCGUCGUCAAUUUAAUACUUUUAAUAUAAGUUAUUAUUUAGAAAAGAAGGUGUGUUCAAUGAAUGACUUAUUUAUGAGUGCUAAUUAGAUUAAAAUUUAGAAUUUAGGAUAAAUUUACAGAAUCAUAAAUUAAUUUAUAAUAUUAUGAAAAUUAAUUUAUGACAUCAUAAAUUUGUCCCAAAUUUUGAAUUCAAACUUUAAUUUCAGAUUGAAAAAUUUUUCUCUAUCCAUAAAGUGUUUGGUUAAGGGGAAAAAAAUCAAAAGAAAAAAAAUCUAGGUGGGUGGUAUGACGUGGGGUUUACGUUUAAUGCGUAAAACAUGAUUUUAAUGUUUAUUUCUCACGAGGCAACAUUGAGAAUAUCGGAGUUGAGUUUAACACAAUUAAUCCUUAGCAAAUAUAUUAAAGCGAUUACACUUCCUGUCUCUCGUCUCAUGCAUGUUACUGCUGAUUGCCUUUGAUAUUUUAAACCAAUUUUGAUUCACCAAAUAAUCAAUCGAUUAAUUUAUUUGCUCUAAAUUCUCAUAACUUAUCCACUACAGAUUUCCAAUGCGGACUCAAGUAUGAAGUUUUUCUAGCCUCAUAUUUGCAUUCGUAAUUAUCACGUCACAUGUACAAGAGAAUGAUUUGAUAUACAAUUGAACAGAUAUUAAUGAAUCUAGAGUAGUUUCAAAUUAGUCAUCGACAUAAUUGAUGCUAAAAUAAUUUCUAAGAGACAAAUUUUAAUCUCAAAUCCCCCAAAAAAAAGAGUAGAUAAUUAAAAAAAAAAAAGCACAAACAAUUGCAAAAAGCUAUUUUUUAUAGUUUCACUUCAGUUCACAGCCUCCUCAUAUCGAGAAACAGCUUCUGAUCAAGCUCAAACUCUUGAAACAUAUUAUUUGUUACAUAUUUUUCAUGAACCAACUGGCCAACAUUGUUGAACUGUCGAUAUUUUUAUUGACUUCAAUUGACUAACAAGUUUCCUUCUUUUCUUGAAGGAUGGCUUUGACGGCGUUUCUUGAAGGAUGACUUGGACCUCUCGUUGAUUCGCGUCCUCGAUAUUGGUUCGUGACAUUCGAUCUCCCUGAUCUCGCCGCCUUCCGGAGAGAAGACGUUUGUCAAAGUUAUCGCAAUCGACGCUUGCCAUUGUCCUGGUAAGUCAUGGUUAAGCUAACAGUAACAAUAACGGCAUUGAUAACUGUUAGAACACUAAUAGUUUAUUUUAUUACUUGUUUUAAUUCAUUUCUUCUUAGCAUUAGGUUUUUUUUUUCAAUUAUAAAUUAAUGUUUUUAUUAAAUUAUAGUUAGGACUGUCUUAAACGAUUAUAAAUAAAUAGUUUUUAUUAUAUUUUUGAGGAAAUAAUAAUAAAAUUAAUUCUAAUUUCUGUUAAUUCUUUUCUCUUCCCUCUGAAUUCUUAAAUUCAUUAUUUAUUUCUCUUUUAACUCUCUAAUCAAAACCUUAGAAUCCUACCAUCUGGUAUUAGAGCACAUCCUUCCUGCCACAAUUUUUAUUUUUCCAUUCACUAUUUUUUUUUAAAAGUCAUCAACCAAACUUUUGCCAAUAUCUCUUGGCUUUUGACUGGAGACUUAAACCGGACCCACCCUCUAAACUUUUUCCAAUAUCUAAACUUUUUCAACCGAACUUGAAUUUUCUUGAGAGUUUUUUUGAGGCAUCAUGAUUGGUAAGGAGCUUGAAGGCAAAGUUCAACAGUUUCAUGACAAAGUUACAACCAUCGAUGAAAAGGUUACGACCUUAGCCAAGCAAAAUAACGAUCUGCAGGAACUCAUGAACGACAUCCUUCAGCAAUUGAGCCAGUUGCGAAAAGGAAAACAACCGACUACUGAUCAAAGACAAGUUGAUAUAUUUACUGGAGGGACCUCUGCUCCUCAAAUGGUAAUUGCUAUCCAACCACCUCUUGAACCUGCCGAACGCAUUGGAAGUACUCUCAUGCAAGCUCGUAACAUAUGACUUGACUUUCCUAUUUUUCACGGUGACAAUCGAACGGGAUGGAUUUUUCGAUAUGAGCAAUAUCGUUGCCUUACUGGAUUAUCAAAUGUUGACUUAUUGUGCUUAGCUAUUGGCCAUCUUGAUGGUGAUACUGUACCUUGGUUUCAUUGGAUAGAGCAAACUAUGGGCGAAAUGACUUGGGCGCAAUUUAAAUGGGCUUUCACUACUCAAUUUGGGACAUUAGAAGAGAAUGAUGCAGUUGGCAGUCUUACCAAAUUACAUCAAAUAGGGACAGUUCUUGACUAUCAACGACAAUUUCAAAAGUUGACCGAUCAGACUAGCAAUUUAACUGAGUCUUUCUUCAUCAGUUGUUUCCUUUAUGGGUUACAUGAAGAUAUCAAGGCUGGCGUACAACUGUUCAAACCUGUUAGUCUCGUACAAACUUUUGAACUUGCUAGGUUUAGUAAAAGACAAUUACUUUGCAAGGCAACUGUUCCCCCGUUCCCGCCAUCCAAGAUCUAGUCCCACAAUUACAGUUGACUCCUACUCCACCAGCAGCAGACAGAAAGACGUUCUAAAGGGCUUUGUUUCAACUGUGACGAGCAAUUUAAGCCUGGGCAUUGUUGCAAACAAUCUCAACUAAUGCUUUUAGACGUUGAUAUAACUCUUCACAACCCUCCAAAACCGCCUGACCAUCAUUCAGAUUGGAAGAUCUCGAUUAUUGAGACUAGGUAAAAGGCUUGCAGACAAGCCUGUUUUAAUGGGCAGGGAAUGUUAGGACCCUAAUAAUUUAUUUUAUUGCUUGUUUUAAUUUUUUUCCUAUUAAUAUUAGGUUUUCUUAUUUCAAUUAUGAAUUAAUGCUCUUAUUAAAUUAUAAUUAGGACCGUCUUGAACUACUAUAAAUAAGUGGUUCUUAUUAUAGUUUUGAGGGAGCAACAAUAAAAUUAAUUCUAAUCUCAUUUAAUUCUUCUCUCUUCCCUCCGAAUUCUUAAAUUCUUCAUCUAUUUCUCCCCUAAUUCUCUGACCAAAACCUCAUAAUCCUACUAGUAACGGACUGCAUUACGUUCGAGAAGACAAUUUACACACACACAAGAUAAUAAAGGCAUUUAAAUCACCCAAUUAAGUUGUAUAGCGAUAAAUAAUUAAAUUACAAAAAGCUCGACAUAUACUGAAAAAUAAAAAAGAAAUUCAACAAAGUCAUAAAUUUAUUGACAUCUGAAUUCUGAAAAUAUGGUGUGUGUCUUCAGUUGGGAAAGUUAUAAUUUGCAUACGGUUAUUUUUAUUGAUAUUUAAUACCUCUAUUUUAUGUUCAAUUGGAAGGAAUUCUAGGCAGUUCAAUUUUCUACUUACGGUAUUAUCACGAUCGUUGUUAUUGAGAAAAUUUUGGCAAUUUUUUUGAUUGAUCAUGAUGAUUUUAGUACGUGGCAGGCUCGGUGAUGUUGUUAUUUCGCGGAGCAUUUGGAUGCUUGCUCUAUACUGGUGAUUUUCGCUGGGAAGCAAGUAAUAAGAGGGCUGAGAUAGGAAGGAACACGCUCGUCAAAGCUUUAAAAGAUGAUGUAGUCGACAUUCUUUAUUUGGAUAACACAUAUUGCAGUCCAUCAUAUGCUUUUGCUUCAGGAGAAGUUGCAGCUCAGCAGGUACACUUUUUAUAUUUUUCCUUUCUUGUUUGAGAACUUUCAGUUUCACUCCAGAAUUAUCUACUGAAUUAAAGAUUAAAAUGGGAGAUGAAAGAAAUAGUCCAGGUACUGAUUUGUAGUGUUAGUUAUCUGGAUGAAAACAGAUUGUUGACAUAAUUGCCUCCCAUCCAGAUCAUGACAUCAUCAUUGGGAUUGACUCACUUGGAAAAGAAAAACUUUUAUUUCACAUAUCGCAUAAGCUCAAUAUAAAGGUUUGCUCACCCUUUUAAUAUCGGAAAACCUUUUCUUACAUAACGAUCAUCACGAUGGUCUCUCCAAGGGGGAUGAAAUCGAUAGCAUAUAUACAGCAAAUUGACAUGUUAUCUAAUUUUUGGAUCACUUGUAGAUGAUUUAGGAGUAUCUUGAUAGUUUUUAUUCUUCUAACAUCUAACAUAUGUUUUACAUUUUAGAAACUGGGCGGGUUAGAUUGUCCUUUGGUGGAUUUAAUUGUGGCCAAAUUCAUACAUGAAAUGUAUUGUCACACAUGUAUUAUUGGAUGCAUCCAAUUGUAUGUUCUUCCUCUUCAUGUGCCAUGAGAACUUAAAACUGCCCUCUUCAUCUCUUGCAAAUUGUUGUUUAGUCACAAGCAAGUGGAAUAAAAAUUUUUGCAUUUAUUUCCAAAGCAGAUAUUUACUCUGUAUUUCUUGUUUCACAUUUUUUUUAUAGAUUUGGGUGUGGCCAGAACGCCUGCAAACCAUGCAUCUGCUUGGCUUCCAUGACAUAUUCACAACCAAAACUUCUCUUACUAGAGUGCGAGUUGUUCCACGGUAUAGUUUUAGCAUUGAUACUUUAGAGAGUUUAAAUACAAUGCACCCAACGAUUGGAAUUAUGCCAUCUGGUCUUCCUUGGGUGGUUAAGUCUCUUAAAGGAGGUAGUAGUCUUCCUGGUUUUCUUUUUCCUUCUUACCAAAGCAAAUGGAGAGCAACGGGUGGAACUCACACUGAGAAACUGAAAGAAGCUUUAGGCGGGCCCGACGAGGUGCGAAGCUUGCUCGAAGUGAGAGUUCUGAUUGAUUAGGGUCAAAUAUCGAUAUCAGUUAAGCUUGAAAUUCUUGCAAGUAAUGUUACUUGUAUCGGUUUGAAUUCAGAGUCUAUUGUAUGGUUGAAGAAUACAUAUGAUGGUGUAGGGUGUAAGUAAUAUAAUCCUUUUAUUUAUUUAUUUAUCUUGGAUGUCUAAAGCGACGGCCUAUUAGUGCUCAUUAAGGAAAAUGGUUGUGUGAAAGCACUUCGUCUGGAUCAGUCAUUUGACUGUUUACGCCUGGAUCAGUCAUUUGAUUGUUUACGCGGGAUAGGUAUAGUGGCUUUUUGGUUUAGAUUAUUAUAGUUGUUUUCAAACUCGUGGCCUUUAAACACAUUAUAGUUUGACAAUCAUGGUCUUUACUUGAUUUGCAAUAAGGUAAAGAAGUCAAAUGGGUAAUUAUUUUCUGUGAGAGUGAAUUGCGGCAAACAUGAGCAAUUUUUGCAUCAUUGUGCAUUUUGUUGUAGAAUGAGGAGAGUCAACUUUCCUGACCAUCUAGAUGAACCCUUAGUUGAAUCUCUCCAUGGCCAUAAGUGGGCGGCAUAGACCAAAUCCUGAAACUAGUCAUGGUCUAAUAUGCAAACCACUCUGACUAUGGCCAAGACACUGGAAAAUGGUGAAUGUUAACUUAGUUUUGAAAGUUAUCAAAUUUAAUAAAACAAAUCAAAUUUAUAAAGUUUUAAAAGUUAUCAAAAUUUAAUAAAACAAAUCAAAUUUAUAAAGUUUUAAAAGUUAUCAAAAUUUAAUAAAACAAAUCAAAUUUAUAAAGUUUUAAAAGUUAUCAAAAUUUAAUAAAACAAAUCAAAUUUAUAAAGUUUUAAAAGUUAUCAAAAUUUAAUAAAACAAAUCAAAUUUAUAAAGUUUUAAAAGUUAUCAAAAUUUAAUAAAACAAAUCAAAUUUAUAAAGUUUUGAAAGUUAUCAAAAUUUAAUAAAAAAAAUCAAAUUUAUAAUUAGGGGUCCAGCUACGGUGCCCCUUUGGGCACGGUGUCCCCUUCUUUUGUCAUUAUCCAGGCUAGCCGUUAGAUUAUAAUGACUUUAAUCCAACGUUUCGGAUUUUGAAACUGUACAAUGAUGUGAAGUGGGCAACUGUCCAAUCCCGAUAUACUAAUACUAUUGUAGCUCUAAAUAAGAAGUAAUAAGAUUAUUAACACUAUAAGGUUAAUGGAAGGAAAAUCUAUCUAAGCCUGAAAUGAUACAAACUACAUAUGUUCGAAUUUAUGGUAGCUGAAAAAUCUUUCAUGAUUUGUUCUACUCCUUGAUCACAUAAGUGGGUUGAAUUAAUUUAUAUAUUUGAAAUUAGGUGGUUGAAUAACGAUGGCAUGACCAUAUGGAUUCAAUUUCUUGAUGGACCAAUAACCUUGUUUCGACUGAAAUCAAUACGUGCAAGUAGUCAAUUUGACAGUUGACAUAAACUGUGCUUUUGAAUUGCAAUGGAACAUAAAUGAACAAGCUUUCAUCUAGCUUUACAGAGUGUGAACUAAAUGGUGUAGCAAAUAUAAAUGAAAGAAGAAGGAGCCCGAGGGGUGGAGGCGUUAAGAACUUAAAUAGCAGGUUUUAUUCUGUCGAAAUACUACAAGCACAUUUGUAAUAUUCAAAAGAUGCUGCAACUGUAGUUCUUAGUAUUUCGAGUCAGAAAACUAAGCUUCAAUAUCAUGACAUAACAAAAUAUACAAUAAAAAUUGCACGGACAUAAUAAUUGUCAUAUUUCCAUAACAACGUUACCAAGUCCGUAAAAGCUAGGAAUAACAAAACACAUAAAAAUAGUUUCAUAUUAGAGAAUAUCUGAAUUUACAGAGCAUAGAUUAUGUCUAAAUUUCCUGGUUGGUUGAGUUUCUUCGAUGAUCUUGUUCGAAAGCUAAUACCAUUCGUUUCUAAAAUGUACCUCACAGUAUCAAUCAUCUCAAUUAAACUGCCACAAAGUUUCCUCUUUAGCCUACCACAGUUGUAGCAAACUACCAAAACCCAUUUGACAAGCAGCCACUCUUUGUUCAUCUAUCAGCUACGAAACUGCUGCCGCUAAUCUAUCUGGGGCGAAUCUAGUCAAGAACUUUGCCUUUGCCACUUCUGACUUCACUAUUUGUUCGCAUUCAAUUUGUAUUAACAUUUUCUCUCCGGUGGUAAAUCCUUAAACGUGGAUCCAAUUUCCAUCUAGUACACAAUCAUGGCAGAUAAACUAACUACAUCUCCACUAAUUGAAAAUACAAAUUUAUUUUAUCUUUAUAGUGCAACUUUACAUACCUCUUCUGUAAUGCAAGUCAUUCCAUCGCUUGCCUUAACCUCAUGCACGGCUUCACUGCUGCAAUAUCAUCAUAUGACUGCAAAAUUAUACAUCUCUAUAAUUUUUAAUGAACUAAGCUUACAAAUAUCUUAUGAACCCAUUAUGGCAUUUCCUUUUUCUUCUUCCUUCAAUACUUUGAUCGUCACCAACCUCUUUAACACCGCCAUCAAUCUCACACGAUUUAUGCUUAUUACUUCCCACCAACUUAAUUUAUGAAAUUCAGUGAUACAUUUAUUUAUUAUAAUCAAACUAAAGUUCAUAGCAACAUAAAGUUUACAUUCCUAGUCCAGCACAAAACAAACAAAAAAAUUGGGGAAAAAAAUAAACAAAGGAGAUCUGGAACGAAGGUAAAGCAUGUAUCAUUUUCCUGUUCCUAAUUUUAAAAAUGUUCAUUGUAAAACUUAAUAACACCCAAGCUAACUGGAACUAAUUGUUACGGAUUCAAAUAUCAUUUUAAUACAUGGAAUUACUAAGAUGAAUAUUAUGACAAAAAAAUCCUUUACAUUAUUACAUUGUUGAGAAAAUAUCCAUAACUUUAUUUUAAAAUAUUUGUGCACCCCAAUUUUGCCAUUAUCCUUAUGAGAUCUAGCUUCCCACCAACCAUAUUAUGAACAACAAAUGAUUCACAUCACAAAUCUCAUAUUAAAAUUACACUUACCUUAAAUUUGGUAUAUGCAAUCCUUUCUGUUUCAUUCAAUACUGCUAUAACAAACUACAAGUCACUGCACUCCACUUCAAAAAUUUGACACGACAUCAUUGCUCCAAUUACAGUUAUACAGAAUUAAGAAAAUAUUCCUGCUUUAAAAAUUUCGCCAAUGUCUGUUGAAAUACAACCAAGGGUAUGUAGAGGGUCCAGCUACAAUAUCCAUGGGGUUUGGUACCCCAUUUUUUGUUUUUUUCAAACCUACCGUUAGAUUUAACGUAAGUGCAUAAUGGCUGAGAUGUGAUUAUUGAGUUAUUAACAUCAAAGACCCUUAUUGUUCAUGUAAAAUAAAAAAAAAUCAAAAGUUUUGAAAUUAUGACAUAUAAGUCAAUAAUAUUCUCUUUUUUUUUUAACUCUAUUGAAAUAUGUUUCCAAUUAAAUGACUUAUUCUUAUAUUUAUUAGUAUCUAUUUAAAUUAAUAAAUUUAUUAAUUAAUAAAUUAACUACUUUAUUAUAUAAUUAAACUAUGUAUAUUAUUUAUUAAGGGUUAUUUUUAGAGACCUCCCCUGAGGUUUGGUGUAUUGACAGUCUGAUAGAAAGUAUUCACGUAAUUACAGGGACCUCCCCUGACGGUACUACAUGGUUAACUUGACUGUUAGUGGACUAACGAAAAGCCAAAAAUGCCCUGAGCCUAAAAAAUGCUUUGGCAGUUAACAAUUUCUUUAAUGAUAGUAACUACAGUUUGGCGUUAAACAUCACACUAAAACACUAAAAAGUCUAAACUGACCAUUUAAAACAAAUCAUUGACAUUACAUAAUAUUAAAAAAAGGAGAAAAAUAUAAAUUGACAAAAUCAACAAAGCUAUCAAUGUAGUGAAUAUUUACAGCAACAAUGGUUGUAAAUACAGCCAUUGUCAAGUUAAAAUCACCAUUACAACCAUUGCUUCUUUAACUUUCAUCUCACAAUUUCUUCCUUCAUCAUUCAACAUCUCAAAAGCUCAAUAAUUAGUAAGCUGCUUCAAUAAAACAAUAAACAAACCAUAAUUCACUUUUCAAUGCAUUCAAAAUACACAACGAAUAUUCCUUAGCCAUUUAAAUUGAAGCCAAAGAAGAAAAGAAAAGAAAAAAAAUCUUCCUUUGUUAUUCCAAGUUUCACACCACUAGCCAUAUGAAGAAGGCAGACUAAAGCGUAAGAAAAUGCUACUGCCACAGCAAAAGUCUAGACCAAUUGGGUAAUGAUACCUGCCAUGCCAAUUUCAAGGCAAGCAAAAAUCAAUUAUCAUCCCCAGACCAAAAUACCAGCAAACCUACCUUUUGAAUUUAAAUAAUAAGUAAAUAAAUCAAAGAUUUCAACUCAUUUAAGUUUGAAAUCAAUUAAAAUAGCCAAAAAGAAAAAAAAAAUUCGUCCAACAUAACUUAUCCAGCAAUUUCUUCAACACAUAAUUUCAUUCUUAAUCAUCACAACAAUUAAAAAAGAAAAACAAUGAGCCCAAGUGAUUGAUCUUGCCAUAAUGUACUCCUACCAGCAACCGAAGUCGAGCAUACAUACGACGAUCUUCGUGCGUGAAUAGCCGGGAGGAAAGAAAGGGCGGUAGAUGAUAAUGAAAAAGAUGCGAUCGAGUUUGCUGUAGAAAUUUCUACUCUCCGAUUAGACCCAAAGCUUGUUCAAAAGGGUCUCCUUUUCCUCCGUUGAGAUCAAAUCCCUACCGACGAGCUGCCAACAACUAACAAGGGUCACUACGAAUAGCUAACAACUGCUUUGCUACUACUGGCUCACUCUGAACGAGAUUCCGAUCCCCUGUCUCGUGAGCAAAGCCUUCGAUUCCUUCACGUAGGCCGAGACGGAUUGGUUCAAAAGCUUCUCCAGAGCUUUUCAACCUUGAAAAUGGUUGUGGGUUUCGUUUAAUGAGAGAGAAAAUAGUGUUUUGGUUCUUUGAUUUUUUUUUUAAUUUAUGAAAUCACUAAUUUACCCUCAUAUACUAACAUAUACGAAAACGUGUACUAACGUUAGGGGAAGUCUCUGUAAUUACACAAAUACUUUCUAUCAGAUUGUCAAUACACUAAAACUCAAGGGAGAUCCUUAAAAAUAACUCUAUUUACUAACUAUAAUUAAUAAUAACAAUAAAUAUAAAUAUGAUCUUUUUUUAAUUUAAUAUAACGACAACUAAUUUCUUUUGACGUAUGUGAAUAAAGUUCAAAACCCAUAAUUUUUUUUUCCGCCAGACGGUGACCCUUGUGGGUCUAUCAACAAUUCAAAGAUUGCACAACUUGAUUGUCCGUUUCCAAUCACUCAUUUCUUUCUCUCUGGCCAACCAAACGCGUAAAACUGAUUAACGUUGUUGAUGGAGUUUUAAAUAUGAUCAAAUGGCUGUGAUUGUUUGUAGGCUUGGUCCUAUAAAGCUCAAUCGACCUACAAGCCAAUAAAAAAAAUUAAUUGAAAUUGCUAGCACUAGCCGCAACUGGGCCCCAUUCACAUUACGAGGUUCACCUCCUCUAGAACUUGUACAGGUGGACAUGGUUACAAACUAUUGCUUUUGUAGAAACAAUCCAAGUUGAUGUCUAGGGUGGAUAUUAAAAUCUUGCUGACGUGGCUGAAUCUGUUAUAUUGGUUUAAGAAUUACUACAUGCAUGUGUAACAGCUUAUUAACAAGGAAUUGACACUUGUUAUAUAUGUGUGUAAAAUACAUUGAUUCAAUAAUAAGAAGUUUUCAGUUUAUCAAUAUUUUCUUUCUCUUCCGUUUAACUUUCUCGUUUACCAAAUACAACAUUUGGUUUUCUUUCACAAAGUGUCGGAUUUUGGGCUGGCAAAGCUUGUUGGGAGGGAGUUCAGCCGUGUCCUAACAACCAUGAGAGGAACAAGAGGUUACCUUGCACCUGAAUGGAUAUCAGGAGUGGCCAUAACAGCCAAAGCGGAUGUCUACAGCUGCGGAAUGAUGCUGUUUGAAUUUGUAUCGGGAAGGAGGAACUCUGAGGAAUUUGAAGAUGGUAAAGUGAGGUUCUUCCCAUCUUGGGCUGCUAAACAAAUAGUUGAAGGCAGCAAUCUCAUUAGCCUAUUAGACCCAAGACUGGAGGGCAACGCAUAGGAAGAAGAGCUUGCAAGACUUUGCAAAGUGGCUUGUUGGUGCAUCCAAGAUGAUGAAACUCACAGGCCAUCAAUGGGUCAAGUAGGUCAAAUUCUUGAGGGAGUUUUGGACGUGACACUGCCUCCAAUUCCCAGAGCUCUCCAAGUAAUGGUCGAAUCAAAGAGCAACAAUUCAACUGCUUCAUCUCAAGCAAAGAGCACCACAUUAUCAAGAAGUUCUUAAAUCGAUGUGAAGAAAAUAUUUUAACAUUUGUGUUUAAGAAUAUAUAUUUGGUUUAUUUCACUUGUAACAACCUGUAUGCAUAUUUGGAUAGAAGCCUUGCUUCGUAGUGUGUAUAAUAAUAAUGGAACCUGCCAAAGCAAUUUUAAGAAUUACAAGCCUUGUGCCUCGCUGUUCUCUCUAAUGAACUCUGAUUGA
Molecule: long non-coding RNA, 20042 nt
Filed under: Citrus sinensis (sweet orange)
Lineage: Eukaryota; Viridiplantae; Streptophyta; Magnoliopsida; Sapindales; Rutaceae
Description: long non-coding RNA (CSIN_LNC000821)
Source: RNAcentral